AAAAUUAUUAUAAGAGCAUGAGAUAAGGUAAUGGAAGGGAGAAUACUAACAUAAGUAACAAAUAAAAAUAAACAUGAAGACGAAGUCGACGAAGUUCGAGAAGGUGCUAGAGGAAGAUAUGGAGUUAAUGGAGUUCGAGAAGGUGAAAUAGGAAGAAAUGGAGAGUUAGUGGAGUUCGAGAAGGUGAUAU
Long non-coding RNA from Bombyx mori (domestic silkworm), 190 nucleotides. RefSeq lists it as uncharacterized. Lineage: Eukaryota; Metazoa; Arthropoda; Insecta; Lepidoptera; Bombycidae. The record is from RefSeq and is a predicted model, not a curated record. The transcript is spliced from 2 exons.